CACACUGGCACGCAGGCAGAAAAAUCACUAAGUGGUCUGCCAGGGCACUCAGCGAUUUUGAAAGAGUCCAUGAAAAAAGAAAGUUUGGGAACCAUUGUAGAGGCAUGAGCCAAUGAAAAGUGCUUCUUCACACAAAAAAUAAGCGCUAUAAUAGUGAUAUUAAUCAUUUAUUGUUGUAAGUCACUUCAGAGGGCUCUUGAAAUUAGAAAGAAAGGGAAUAAAUAUUUUGAAUGGAUCUAAUUAUAUAAGCCAUUUAUUUUGUGACAUCUUAAAUGUUUGGAUUUUCUGGCAAACGUUAAAUACAAGCUUGGGAGUACUGAAACACUGGACUGUUGCUUCUUAUGCUCAGUGGCUAGACUACAGUACAGUCUUCAGUAUGGUUCCUACAGCUGUAGUCAUCAGCCAAAGUGCUAGUCAGAUAGCUGAAAACCUGUCAUGAAGUAACAUUGAUAUGUCUUGCAGACAUGUCUCAUAGUAUUCAGCUUAUUGACAGUCUACUUUGACAGUUCAUUUUUUUGUAUUUCAAUUUCUUUUUAUUGCAUAUUGCUCGCAGGCAUGUGAAAACCGUCUUGACUUCAUUGGUGAUUCUGUGGUUUUGGUUUAAACUCUGUCAUUUGCAUAAAAUGUAUAAUGUACCAUCAAAGGAGUGUGGAAUCUGUCUUUUGAGGAUGUAAAAAUAUGGACUGCAGCAUCUGGAAUGCAAAGUUCCGGUUUAUGUUUUGGGGGUUUUUUUGCUUGAGAUGCCAAGACAUAUCAGAUAACUGCCUGGAGCCCAUUCAUUCCAAUAUUUUGCAUUGCGACCCAUUUAAAGCAAACUCUAUUACAUUAAAACUAGAAUGCUUCCAACUCCAUUAAUACUAUAAUUUUGCUUAAUGAUGAAACAUUUAAAUGUUCGUGUUGAGAGAGAUUGUUUCUGUCAUGAUCUUGAAUUAAAUUAAGGUAGAUGCACUAUUGCUGGAACCUAAGCGUAGAAUAGGCUUCCUACCUAGGUAGUGGUUUAAAGGGGUACAUCCUUUAUUUUCACUGCUAAUGUCCUUUAGAAUUUAUGGUUUCUCUGGCAAUGUGGGUAAUGUGUAGACCAUGGGUAGGCAAACUAAGGCCCAGGGGCCAGAUCCGGCCCAGUCACUUUCUAAAUCCGGCCUGCGGACGGUCAAGGAAUCAGCGUGUUUUUACAUGAGCAGAAUGUGUCCUUUUAUUUAAAAUGCAUCUUUGGGUUAUAUGUGGGGCAUAGGAAUUCGUUAAUCCCCCCCAAAAAAUAUAGUCCGGUGCCCCCCCAAGGUCUGAGGGACAGUGGACCAGCCCCCUGCUGAAAAAGUUUGCUGACCCUUGGUGUAGACCUUCAGCUGAGAUGCUUUUCAUCAUAUUACCCUGAGGAAUUUGAUGGCAACGGCAAAAAUAAUUUCUUUCAGAAUCACAAAUACAGUUUGUAUGUUUAUUUAUUUAUUAGAUUUAUAAGCCCUUCAUCACAAGAUCUCAGGGUGGUUCACAAUAUUAAAGCACAAGGUAAAAGCACAAAUAAAUAGUUAAAACAGCAGAAUAACCGCACCCCCAACACAUUUAAAAGGCUGUAGAAUAUUAAUCAGCCAAAGGCCUGAUUGAAGAGAAACGUUUUCACCUGGUGCCAGACAAACCUCCUUGGGGAGAGCAUUCCACAAAUGGGGGGCCACUGCAGAAAAGGCCUGCUCUCAUGAAGAAGGGCCUCAGAUGAUGAACACAGAGUCCAGGUAGGUUUACCUGGAAUAUAGUUGUUUUUUUACAGAAUCAAUACAGAUAUUAUUUGUGCACAUAUAUUGCAUGGAAUGGUAAGAAUUUUACUGCUAUUUUUCUGUUGUCCCAUGAUGUCUUGUUACCCACAACCCUGCUUCCAUCUUCUGUUUCAUGCAGCUCACAUACUGGGUUUACUCUCACACCAGCAAUUGCCAGCAUGAAAUGAGGAGUCAGGAAGUCUUCUGGGACUCCCCAUAAGAUUUUAUAUGAGCCCAGGAUAAUGAGUAUGUGCAAUAGGUGGAACAGAAUGUUUCCUAUGCACACAGAAUUUGUGAAUUUGUUGACAAAAGGAACACCCUUACAGCAAACAUCAUACUUAGCCUGAGUUCUGUGUAGAUGAUACUGCUUCAAUCUGUUGAGUAUGGGUUGUCUGUCAUUAAUCAGAAUCCUUCCCUCUAGUUAUGGCUGUGUAAGAAGAUGGGGGAGGCUUGAAUGAGUUUUUGCUCGAAUGCUUUGGAAACACCUUUUUGCCACAGAAGGAUUUAAACCAGCACCCCAACAAAGAGUUUAUUAAAAAAUGCUGAGCAUUUUCUUCUAGGCACCUACUUUAAGGUCACCUCCCCUUGUUGCUUUUUGUGUGAUGCCUUUGUAUAAAAAAUGUUCAACCACUUUCACCAUUUAAUAUUGAGAAAUAUUCUUUAGAAUAAUCAGCUGUAGUUACAAAAAUGAAAUUAAGGGAAUGCUAACUUUCAUCAUAGGUGAAGGGGAAUCAGAAAAGGGGCUACACUGCCAUACUUGGGGGAAGAUGUUUCAAAGCAGUUUGAAUAGCCGUAAUAGUGGUUAAAUGACUAGUGUCCUGGGAAAUCCAUCAAAGCAUUCCAGCAAGGAAAGAUGGAAGUGUCUAGUAAUAAAAUUACAUGCGCACCUUGGCUUGCUUUGGUUACAUAUUUUUCUGUUUUAUUGCUUGAAGUAAUAAAAAAAAUGCCUUUAGACUAUUGUUCAAAAUGUAUUAUGAUAACAAAUAUGAAGCAGUGUUUAAUAUUUUAUAACAUUCAAACAAGAGCAAGCACAGCUCAAAAUGCAGCGUGUAGGAGGAAGUCUUUACUGCAGUAGUUUUGCUCAAGAACGUGAAUGUGCACUGACCCAGAUGUUUGUGAUUCUGCGUAGUGUGUGGGCUCCAACAGCACCAUACGCCAGUACUGAGUAUGUUGUAGAAUAAUCCACAUUGUUCUAACAAAAUGAUUAUUUAGAUUUUGCAUGCACGCAUGCAGGCUAAAUUGCAAAUGAGUGCAGUAUUCAAGACAAUAGAAAUUGUAUAAUACUUCCAUUUUACAGAAGUCAAGGUGGACAUCUUAACCUACUGUUUUCAUGCUAAGAAACAAUUCUAGAAUUUCUGUGGUUUUUAUUUUUAAAGGGAAGACAAUGGGUAAUGUCCAGAGCAGUACCAACCGACAGGAAACCCUUAAGAACUAUAUAGAAAGUGAAUAGAAAAAACUGCAGUAUUGCAUUUCUUUCAGGCUAUUUACUACUAUACUAUAUUCUACCUCACUUAUUUCCACAAUGUACAGCCACAUCAACUCAAUCAAUGUUUUGUCAGGCGUAUACAUCAAGUUAUUGUGAAAGAAUAGCUGCCCAGAUGUUUAGUACGUAUAUUGCCAUGUUAAUCCCUGCCUGGAGAUUUUCUGUAUUUAUAUUUCUUAAAAUUUGUGAUUACUGUAUUUAUCACCUCGGUGUGAAUUUUGACAUUCAAGAUCUCUUGAGUGGCUGGUACAACAUGUUCUCCAAUUUUUCAAGAAACAACAUAUAAAAUCCCUGAGACUGUUACAGCAGUAUAAAUAUUGCAAGGAGCCUGCAAGUACACUGCCCACAAAUUACUUAGAUUGCAUAACUUGCGCUCACGAUUCUCUUUCCACUAACAACGUAAACCUGUACCUACCUAUUUGGAAGUAAAUCCUAUUUUGAGUUCAAUGGAACUUACUCCAAGGUCAUGAUGACUGACUUUCAAACUAUACAAUAUAUUUUCACCAAACCAAUCAUAGGCACAGCCUAGCAGAUACUCGAGUUUUAAAAAACAAUUUCAACCUUCCCAAAACAUUCAGGUAUUGUUACUAACUGGCAUAG
Molecule: non-coding RNA, 3828 nt
Organism: Podarcis lilfordi (Lilford's wall lizard)
Lineage: Eukaryota; Metazoa; Chordata; Lepidosauria; Squamata; Lacertidae
Source: the annotation of a GenBank genome assembly